GACGAACGCUGGCGGCAUGCUUAACACAUGCAAGUCGAACGAGAAAGCUUCUUCGGAAGUGAUUAAAGUGGCGCACGGGUGAGUAACGCGUAGACAAUCUGCCCUUCAGUCCGGGACAACUUUCCGAAAGGGGAGCUAAUACCGGAUAACAAUGUUUAACAUAAGUUAAAUAUUUGAAAGCUCCGGCGCUGAUGGAUGAGUCUGCGUCCCAUUAGCUUGUUGGUGCGGUAGCGGCGCACCAAGGCCGCGAUGGGUAGCGGGUUUGAGAGGACGAUCCGCCACACUGGAACUGAGACACGGUCCAGACUCCUACGGGAGGCAGCAGUGGGGAAUAUUGCACAAUGGAGGAAACUCUGAUGCAGCAAUGCCGCGUGAGUGAAGAAGGCCCUUGGGUCGUAAAGCUCUUUUAUGGGGGAAGAUGAUGACGGUA
Molecule: ribosomal RNA, 430 nt
Filed under: uncultured SAR324 cluster bacterium
Lineage: Bacteria; Deltaproteobacteria
Description: bacterial SSU rRNA
Rfam family: Bacterial small subunit ribosomal RNA
Source: RNAcentral